CCUACGGGUGGCAGCAGUUAGGAAUAUUGGUCAAUGGACGAGAGUCUGAACCAGCCAAGUAGCGUGAAGGAUGACUGCCCUAUGGGUUGUACACUUCUUUUAUAUGGGAAUAAAAUGUUCCACGUGUGGGCUUUUGUAUGUACCAUAUGAAUAAGGAUCGGCUAACUCCGUGCCAGCAGCCGCGGUAAUACGGAGGAUCCUAGCGUUGUCCGGAUUUAUUGGGUUUAAAGGGAGCGUAGGUGGAUUGUUAAGUCAGUUGUUAAAGUUUGCGGCUCAACCGUAAAAUUGCAGUUGAAACUGGCAGUCUUGAGUACAGUAGAGGUGGGCGGAAUUCGUGGUGUAGCGGUGAAAUGCUUAGAUAUCACGAAGAACUCCGAUUGCGAAGGCAACUCACUGGACUGCAACUGACACUGAGGCUCGAAAGUGUGGGUAUCAAACAGGAUUAGAUACCCUUGUAGUC
RNAcentral lists this ribosomal RNA (460 nucleotides) under uncultured bacterium. Its description in RNAcentral is "partial 16S ribosomal RNA". It matches the Rfam family "Bacterial small subunit ribosomal RNA", at positions 338 to 795 of the family's 1533-position model. The record is from RNAcentral.